This 307-nucleotide unclassified non-coding RNA is filed under the name plant metagenome. Its description in RNAcentral is "partial contains 5.8S ribosomal RNA, internal transcribed spacer 2, and large subunit ribosomal RNA". The stretch from base 1 to 105 matches the Rfam family "5.8S ribosomal RNA", at positions 50 to 154 of the family's 154-position model. The record is from RNAcentral.
GAAAUGCGAUAAGUAAUGUGAAUUGCAGAAUUCGGUGAAUCAUCGAAUCUUUGAACGCACAUUGCGCCCGCCAGCACUCUGGCGGGCAUGCCUGUUCGAGCGUCAUUUCAACCCUCAGAACCCCUUGCGGGAUCUGGCGUUGGGGAUUGGCAUCCAGCCAGCCCCGAAAUCUAGUGGCGGUCCCUCCGCGACCUCCCCUGUGCAGUAGCGAUACCUCGCAGCGGGACAGCGGUCUGACCACGCCGUAAAACCCCCAACUUCUCAAGGUUGACCUCGAAUCAGGUAGGAAUACCCGCUGAACUUAAGC